Cannabis sativa is the source of this 2753-nucleotide long non-coding RNA. RefSeq lists it as uncharacterized. The transcript is spliced from 2 exons. The record is from RefSeq and is a predicted model, not a curated record. Lineage: Eukaryota; Viridiplantae; Streptophyta; Magnoliopsida; Rosales; Cannabaceae.
AGGUUGUGUAAGAGGAGAUUUUAUCAUAUUCUUUAAUCAGAUUUUUGAUGCUUUAUGUAAGCUUUCAGUCGACUCAAAUGCUAAUGUACAGAGUGCUUCUCAUCUUCUAGAUCAACUUUUGAAGGAUAUUGUUACUGAAAGUGAUCAAUUCAUGCUUAGUCCUUUCUCUUCGAAAUAUUCUAUUAUUUGGAUUGUACGGUUCGAGAACCAGGAGGUAGGAGACAAAUACAGAAAAUCCCCAGAACACUCAGGAGGAACAACCUGGGAAAACUAUGGAUGUUCCAGAAGACAAACAAUAGAAUAAUCAAACACCUCGUCGAGGAGUACCUCAAAGACCCUAGGGAUUUGCAAAUCAGGGGAAUGAAAAUAAUGACGUGCCAGAGUCUUCUCGUAGAAAUGAGAACAUAAGGCAACCCAGAACUAGGGAACAGGAGAUCCCUCCUAAUAACGAGAGAAAUCUUGGGACACAACCUGAGACAAGUGGGUUACCACCGAGACACCCCCAACGUCCUUCUCGAACUGAUAGGGAGGAGGCAUACACAUACCCCGGCCGGGGGGGGGGGUGUAUCUAACCUUUCCCGAAGGACAAGGCCUGUGCAGGACAAGGCAAGUUCUAGCUUGGGACAUACAAGAUCCUGAGAGUACAGUCGAUCAAAAAGACAUACGCGAGGAGGAGAUAAACCUCACCUUAAUUAUGAUCGAAAAAGUAUGAGUAAUACGAGGAGCUAUCAAUCUGAGAGUUACUUAGAUACAAGGUUUGUGAGCAAUCAUGAUCAAAGAUAGCCAGAUCUUUGUGAACAUUUGAAUCAAAGACAACCCUAUUUACACGAGCGCUUAAAUCAGAAUGCACCUGAUUUACGCCAACAACUUAAUGCUAAUCGAAAGCAAGAAGAUCCAAUCUAAUUGUGAAUCAUUGAGUUGGAAGAUAAAUUCAGAAGAUACAAAGAUGGGGAAUAUGGGAAACUGCCUGGUUAUGACUCGGAUGAAGAACACGAGCCUUUCCUUCCAGACAUUAAGAACUCUAAAUUUCCCCAAGGAUUCAAAAACCCUCACGUCUCGCCGUACGAUGGGACUUCAGCCCCAGUCGCCCACCUCAACAAUUUCAAUACCAUAAUGCGAGCCAGCAAUGUCUCGAAUAAAUUACGUUGUAUUUUGUUUCCCACCUCCCUGACUGGAGCAGCGAGUAGCUAGUUAAAUAAGUUUACCCAUUAUUUAAUUACUUCUUGGGAACAGCUGUCUAAGGAUUUUAAAAAACAAUUUCAGCUUCCGGGAAGGAAGGCUAAAGCUAUAUAAAAAUUCAAGCUUAUACUUCACUUGAAAGGAUUAGUUAGAAUGCAUCACGAGGGGUAGGAUAGACUUCAAGCAUCCCUUUCGUUCAAGGAAGGAGGGUUGAAGACGUAUCGUACCCCCAGUGAUCUUUCUUGAACGAACGUGCUUACGAGAGUAAUGUUGAAUUUUUAUGUAACAAACUUUGGCUUCUGGAAAGGAAAGCUGAAGUUGUAUGAAUAUUCAAGCUUAGACUUCGCUUGAAAGGAUCAAUGGAAAGUAUCUCGAGGGGUAGGGUAGACUUAAAGCAGCACCUUUGUUCCGGGAAGGAGGGUGGAAGACGUAUCGUACCCCCGUUGAUCUUGCACAAACAUGCAUGUAAGAGUCAUGUUGAAUUUUUAUAUAACAAGCUUCAACUUCUGGGAAAGAAGGCUGAAGUUGUAUAAAAAUUCAAGCUCAGACUUCACUUGAAAAGAUCAAUGGGUGGAAGAGUCUUUGGCAGUAAAGCAGACUUCAAGCUGUCCCUCCCUUCUGUGAUAGAUUGUUGAAGCCACGCGUCACUCCCAAUGAUAUUCCACACUUGGAGAGCAUGUCGGUAUGAGUCUCCUGGGCCUAGGGAAAGUCUAGGAGGUGCAUGCUUAUACCUUUAGGAUCUCUUGGGUAGUCAAUCUCCUUCAGUGAAGUGCGGUGGCAUUUGAGGGUCACUAAAGCGAGAACUCAGACUUCCAGCAGGAUAAGCUUAUCACAAGGACUCCCUAACUAGUUUAUAAUGUCUCGAGUUGCUUCCUUCUUAUGUAACCCCAGGGAGGCAAUCACACGAGGCGACAGGGAUGGCGCUGAGCGAAGUAUGCUAAAAAUGGCCUAUUCCUACAAACAGUACCAUAACCAGGCCUCAUUGGUAACCUAGCAGACACCGAUGGUAUUGAUGGUCUCCUCUCAGCAUGUGCCAUUCCAGGAUUUUUUUCCAAACAACUUCACCACCUAGAGACAAGGCGGGAGAAGUGGUUGUCAAAAAACAAAGUCAAAAAACAAAUCCGACCUCCAUGGCGGCACCAGCGUUGUAGUCUCUAGCUAGAUAGAGUCGUUACAUUCGAUGACCCUUUCUGAGUUAGUUGGCGUAACUGCAUCGAGUCAUAGCUCCUUAGUCUGGCCCGAGCGCCUCUCAUACUACUCCGUAUGUGCAUGGCGGCACGACGAGGGAUCUGAGCCUCGGGACAUCGGUAGUCGACCUUGCCCCCAUGGUGAUCGCUGGCCAGAUCUGAGCCUCUAAGGACAAAUAUUAGUGCAUCACGUGUUUCACGACUACGUGCACUCGUCCUUGUCACUCUUUUUGAGUAGAUUGAGGCAUCGAGUCUCUUUAUGGGCAACAUGUCGGCUUUGCACCUUUCUGGCCUUUGGCCAGACCUCAACAAGCUAUCAAGAGAUCUACCUUCUUUUCUUGAACGAAGCAUUUUUUAGCUCUCAAUGAAAGUAUCAAAAUUUUUACU